Non-coding RNA from Paramormyrops kingsleyae, 7866 nucleotides. The record is from RefSeq and is a predicted model, not a curated record. Lineage: Eukaryota; Metazoa; Chordata; Actinopteri; Osteoglossiformes; Mormyridae.
UGCUGCUGGUUCUGCCGCUCAAACAGUAUAUAUGUAUCAAUUCUCUUCGAUCUUCCUGACACACUAAUAAAUAUUAUGCGGAUGAGCAAUUCAAAUGUCACCAAUAUACGCGCAACAAAAUACAAACAAAGCCUUAUCAGUUGCCAUAUUUGUUUCAAUAUCCAUUAAAAUAGGAAAACCCAUGAACAAUAACCAAACAUAUUUGAAAAACUUUCAGAUUACUUUUAUGUUGUUUUUUGAAAAACGAAACAGUUUACAUUGUUGGUUUAAAUAAUCUUACCUUAUAAAAAUAGUCUAAUUAUCCAUGGUCCACACACAAACAAACAAAAGACUAAUGAUACACAUUCUUUAAGUAACAUUAAGUGCAAAGGGCGUGUUUUGGCUAAACGCGAUCCGCUGUCGUUGCCCUUUCACUCUUCCAAAUUGCCCGUUCGAAGACAUGCAUCUUGCGGCCAAGGCGGAAGACGCGGCCCUAAUCUAAACAGCACUCUGCUGAUGGCGCGCGGAUGAGAUUAUCUCGUCUCGCGCCCUAACCUUUCUUCCCUUGGUUUUAGCAGCAUCCAAGCAUUCGGCACUGGCGCCUAUACACUUGGCCACAAAUGACAGGAGACAAGAGGUGAAACAUCUCCCUUUGUUACCUUCUGAAAUGCAGGUAAAUGUCAGGUCGAGCUCAUCUGUGGACUCUCCCCGCCCGGCCACGCAGAACCACAGCCCAGCAAAUCCUCCGCGAGGCGGAGGUACUGUGACAAAUUCCGCAGGGGUCCCGGAAGGACCAGCUGAGACCUUGCGCGUGUGUGUUCUGGUUUCCAUCAGUCCUCACAACGAAACGCUGCAAAGCGAAGAUGGAUAAUAAGGAGAGCCUGCCCCGGCCUGCCAGCCACACAAAACGGCAUUUAUCUGAGGGUCAUUGUCAUGCUGCUGGAAGCAGCUCCCGUGCCGCUGCUGACGGAUGUCGUACUUCAGACAUGGUAAAUUCCUUUCCGAAUCCAUUUUAAUGCAAACCUGUGUUAUGGGUGUUUUCCUAUAAAAAUCACUCGGACUGACUUGGGGCAAGAGUUGGUUCCUAACUAUGUGGAUAAAAAAAAAACAAAGGUACUAUGUAAACUAACUUUUUGGAAAUUUGACUAAAAAUACUAAACAACAACAACAAAAAAAAAAGUAGAAAACUUUGGUCAUAGACUAUGGUAAACAUGAAAAACUGGUCCUCAUGUCACAUGACGUUAGGUAGGUAGAUGGUGCGGUGCUAUUACUGAAUUUAACAAGGACUCCCCAGAUUCACAGCGUUUACAAGCCAGCCACAUUUUCAUUAAACGCGGAGAGUCAGAGUGUUUAACAUUAACCAAUAAAUUGUACAUGUAGCGGCGAGCAGUCAUGCAGACGUUUACAAUAUAAAUAAAACGUAGUGUUUAUCACGGGCAAUGGCGGCAAAUUGCGCCGUAUCGCCUCCUAAAUGUUUCCGUCAGCUGAUCACGUCAUAGCACCAUGUCGAGGACGGCCCGUGGUCCCGGGGCUGACGUGUCUGCAGCGUCAGAGGUGAGGGUCCAUGUUAGUGUUCUGGUAGGCGGGUUGCCGAUGCACGCCACUGCAAGGUCCCAGAGAAAAAAUCCGGAAAGUAGGUGAGUGACCGUUAAUCCCUUUGUUUGGAAACAGCGGAAGUUUCCCCUGACCCACAGCCUCUCCUGCUCCAUCUGAACUUCUGGGCUGCCAUGGCCAACUCCGCACAUGGGAGCGCUGGUCUGUCACGCCAGCCAUUAUGAGGGAAGCCCGCCAGCCAGCAUACCCUUAUCCUGGUUGGUAUUUAGUAGAAUAUUGCACUGCAUUGUGCUAAUGUUAAAAUACCAUAUUAAUCACAUUACCCUUCCACAGGACCCAGUUAAAUCACAUGAUGCAGUCUAGGUAUUUAGUGAUUAAAUAAAUGAAUUAUUAGUUUCAGCUCCAGCAAAGAAUAGCUGUUGCAGGAAUGAGCAAACUCCUUAACCGACAUUGUCCCAUGCAGUGUACAGCACAAUGUCCAGCUGAAUGGACAGGUAACACUGUGACUAUUCGAUAACCGUGAUGAAAACAGAGAUCCUCCUUUCACUGAUUAACGCAUUUUUUUUUUCCACGCACUGAGGCGUUGAAGGAAACAUUGACAGAAUGGCAGAACCUUUGACCCGCACUUCCCAAAGCACUACAGAGAAGCAAACGCAAGAUUAGGAAGGAUGACCGCAGCAAACAGGGCCCACCCAGGCUGUGCAGGGACCAGUGUUAUGCAAGAAGGUGGAGACAAAGAAAGGCAGUUACAUAGGGUGGCUUCAGGGCUUCUCUUUGGGGAAUAAAACACAUAAUGUUAGGAAUCGGACAUCAUUUUAUGCAAACAGCCAUUUUCAAUUCUGGGAAACUCACACAGAAGAAAGCAAAAUAUGGUGAAAUGCAUGGCUAUGGAAAAAAUAACUUAAUCUUUUCUUUUAUUUUUUUAUCCAGGGCAGAUGAGACAUACAGUUCAAGUAAUGAAUAAUGUGGGGGGUGGGUCACAUGGAGCCUAUUCUAGGCAGCACAAGGCUAGGGUACAGCCUGGAUGAGAUGCCAAAAUUAAAGAUGCAAGAUCUUUAUUGACCACGUGGAACAGACGCAUUGCAAUCCUUGUAUGUCCAGCCAUACUUGGCUAGAAAGAGACUAAACACAGUGUCAAACAUUACAGGCAGUAAAACUAGACAAUGACAUAAAGACGUGCAGGUGCCAUGAAUGCGGACACUGCCUUGUGUUUGCUGGUACAGAGACACUGCAGAGACAUCCAGUAGGUCUGGAGCUGGAAUCAGAGAAGGCAUUUUGUGGCACAGAUGUUCUCAGGCUGGCUAUGCCUGAAAGCCCGAGGCUGCUGUCGCUGCACAGCUUCAACUGACGUGUUUACAGAAGUGCUGUUACUUUACAGGAGAGCAGGGAGGAUCGAGCGGGCAGUCAGCAUGGGCGUGUGCAGUGUGGGAAGAGUUUGCCUUUUGGCAGACCUUGGUGGAUUUCCCCGCACGCUGCCAGCCUUCGACGGCCCACUAGCCAGUCUCAUGCCAGCUAAACUGGCACAGUUACUCGCACGGUUACUGCGCCUGAUGUCGUUAUUCUCCACCUAUGGCUAACCUCCUCAUACCCAUGGCCGCUAAUCUAGGGCUCUUUUUCAGAGUUUCCACCAACAUCUUUCCAGUUUUUUUUUCUUUUUUUGAUUUCAUCCUACAGAAUGGAAUUUAAGAAGCAAGGAGCAGCCCAUUGGAUACCAUUAUUGCUGAGAUCAGUACUUAGACUCCUUUUGUUUACGAAAGGGUCAACUUGGCACCCGUCUUCCAAGUGGGAAAUGUGUCCAUCUCUCAUUUUUGGGUACAGAUGGGAGCGUGACUGAGUCCCCAGGAAGAACGUAAAAAUGAAAGGGUGUCCAAACAUGGUAUGCAAAGGACCUUGACCUUGAUAUGGUAAACGGCUCCAUGCCACUGAUUUCACACUGAUUUCCAGCUGUGUUCAGGUCUCAUUCAAUAUCUUGCUCUCAGGCCUGGUUCCUGAUAGGCCGGCUCUCCCGAUGCCCCCUUUUUUGAUCAGAUAAAGCAGUGUUUCCCAAACCGGUCCUCAGGUAUCCACAGACGGUCCACGUUUUUGGUCCCUAGUACCUCCUAGUUCCCUACCAGACAAUCCCCAGGAGCUGGGAGGGAGCAAAAACAUGGACUGUGUGCGUGUCCUCCAAGGACUGGGAUGGGAAACACCGAGAUAAAAGGUUCCAUUCUUCACUUCACAAAUGCCUUUCGGAGAAAAAAAAAGAAAGGUUGUGGUUACGACGCCAUCAAAACAGAGAUAAGGGCGUAGCGAGGGGGCUGAAAGGGGAAGACUGAAGGAAGCCCAACUGUGCCUCAAGGACGGCUCUGUUUGCAACAGUGUAUCACUCUAAGCGAACACAGACUCAUAAUGUAACUGUGAACUGUUUGAUCCAGCAUUGACAGAAUCACAAUGCACAAUUGCCAAGUACAAAACAGGAAUUUGUUUUGGUGCAGGUGGCGGAAUGACAUAUACAAUUUAAACAUAGACAUGAAUACACAAAACAAUAAACAGAAUGAAAAUAAAACAGAGAAGAAAUAAAGAUGUCUCAUCAAUAAACAAACAUGUAGAUGUAUAAAUAAAGGUAAGACAUCCAGAUGUAGGGAACAAACUUUUAAAGUCAAUAAUUGUGUAAAAUACAGUGGGUGAUUGGCCUGCAGGUCUUUGUUUUUAGAUAUUCUGUUCUGUGAGCACUUGGGGAAGACUGAAGAUGAAUGUGUUUUUGUUACUUUUACCUAGUAAAAUACCCAUCCACCCAUUUUCCAUACCAUUUACACACCAAUAAAAUGCUGUAUUUAUUUUGCACCUCUGAGAUUUACUGUUUUCCUCCCCCCCCUCCACACAUCCACUGUGUUUAUACAUACUCAUGCAGCGUACAGAGUUGGUGAAGUCGGUCGAAACUUCUCACCUUCCAAUACAUUACAUUAUAUUACGUACAUUACAAUAUACAUGCUGCAGCCGUGUAUCGUUUAUCGCUGGGCAAGGAUGCGGGGGAGUUGGGCGAGGGGAUGGCUCAUUUACAGAAUUACACUAAAUAUUUUCAAGGCACUACAUUUUUUAUGACAACAAACUGAUUUUAAGUAUCAUUUUAAGUGCCAUUUAUACUGUGGAAACUUAAAUGUCAGUGCAUCUGAGAUUUGUUACAGUGGCGGUUAGGAACAAGCUAUGGCUUUGACGGUUUUCCUAUUAUCUGUGCAUAAUCCACAAGUCCGUGAAGUUUUUGCACAAGAUAUGCCCGUCCAGGGCCAUCGAAAACCUUGGACACCCCUACUUUACACAAGAGUCUGUAUUUAAUCUUCAUGUUCCUAGUAAAGCAGCACAAAGAUCAGCUUUUGAGUCCCCCCCAGCUUCUGUGCCUUUUUGUGCUGGGGGGCUUGUUCCAUCUUUGACUGACACCCCAGCCAUGAGUCCUUUGAGGCUCCAGUUCAAAGAGCAGGGGGACUAAACGAUUUGCCAGCCCAAAUAGCACCUGUGCUGCACAGCCAGACCUGUUGAGCCAUGUCCCCCCCCCCCCCAAAAAAAAAUAACAUCAUACCUGAGGGUGAGUGACUUUUCAAGAGUGUGGCAGCAUCUGUGUAUGACUUUACACAUAGAUGUGGGGGGGUGAUUAUGUUGUUUUUUCAGAAAGCCUUUAGUGAGGGCUAUUCUAUGGCACUCGGAACAUUUUGGAAAUUCACCUUGUGAAGGGGGGUGUAGGUGCUUGGCAAGAGCACACCUGUGUCCCCUACCCCAAAUCCCACCUAAGGGACUUAACUCCUUGGUGUCCAGGAGGAGGUACCGUUGGUACUGAUUCUGUGGCAAGUACUGAUCACAAAUUGACACACAGAGUUCGGGAAAUUGAUUGUUACGCAAAAUGACAGCCAGGUUUACACCAUAAAAUGACCCACACACAUUCCCUUACAUCUCUCAGCAUGCCUGCCAUUAAAGCAUAAAAUUUUAAAAUACACAAUACACAUGCAAAUAUUCAUCAUACUCAAGCUAUGCAAUAAAAUUAGUUUUUGAUUAUAUAAUUUUACAGUCUGCCUUGUGCCCGUAGCCUCUGGGAUGAGCUCUGGACCCUGCGACCCUGAAUAGAUGGAUGGAUGAAUUUUACAGUCUGUUCAGGUAUAGACUGCAAAACACCUAGACUGUAAGUGAUGUGUUAUAUGUACCCACCUAUUGGCCUGUUCUUUGUAUUUUGCUGAUUUUUGGGUGAUAGGUGGCGGUCUGCAUCUUAUUUAGCUUCGGUUCGUAUGUCUUUUGUGGGUUUUUUUUUCCUGCACCCCAAAGACACAAGCUGCGCUCCGUCUGAACUCGGAAGUCAGAGUUUCUGAGUUCCUGGUUGGAAAUUUCAACUGGAACGCCCUCCUGAAGUCGGAAAGUCAGAGGAACCUCUGUAACCCGACCUUAGAAUUCAACAUGGCUGCACCAUUUAUCAACAGGAGUUAAAACUGUAGUUUUAUACUGUCUAUUACCACUUAUGUCUUAUCUGCGUUUCAGUUAAAUCGGUCAUGCACACCGUACUGGCCAACCGCACUCUCUGUACGCGUUGCUACAGUGUUUGCCUACACAAAAUACCGCCUAAUAUGUUGUUAUCAACUGACAUUGCUAACAAUGGCUAACAAUUAACUGAGCCAGAACUGGGGCCCGUUUCAGAAAGCAGGAUUUCUUGCUUAGCCGGAUAACUACUGAGAAUUGGAUGACAGCAUUUUUAAAAAUGCCUUGAAUUUGUGAAAUUUGACAGUAGUUGUAGCAGUAGAUCCUUUCUGCCACGUGGAUGAAGGACAUUAACAUGGGUGGUGACAUAAACAGUUCAGAUAUUCGCUGACUCUUCUACACAGAGCACCUUUCAAUUUUUUUUCUCUAUUUAACCAACAGGAAAUGUUUGUGGAAUAUUUCAUGUACAAUCAGUUCCUUAAAAGAUCUCCAGGGCCGUGGACCAUCAAGCUUCAGUUGAUGUCUAUGACUCUAACGGUGACACUACAGCCUGAAGUCAAAACAAAACGGAAACGCAGCCCCCCCCCCAUAUUGCUCUGAGGUGUUGUGUGGCAGAGUCGGCCGUCUGGGAGGUCUUUACGGGUCACCUUUUGGCAGUACGCACUCAUCACCCUACCCUCAGCAACGGAGACCAUUAGCAGUGUCAGAGCACUAUAAACAGCACGAUUUAUGUCGGCCCGGGUACAUCUUUUUGUGGCGAUUCAGCUCGAUUUUCCAGUUUCAGAUAAACAGUGUGCGGCGGGACGGAUUCACAGGGAACUUUCCAGAAGCUUUCUUAUGACAAAUGAUGCUGUCCCGCGGUGGAGUUUGGCGUUACUAAUGGCGCUGCGGCCUGCGGAAGUUCACACACUCACAUGCUCGCCUGGGUGGGUGCAUAUGAACGCGUGUCAGACUAAUGUUAAAAGAUUCUUUUUGUAGCUAGACAAGUAUCCUAGUUCCCAUAAUAUCAGAGGUUUCCAGCAUCCAGUUACUGUACUGGUUCAUUGACCUGGUUCCUCCCAUGGGGGGGGGGAUAAUAGCACCUGAGAACAGAUACCCCCUCCCCUCAUAAGAUCACCUGUCACAUUCAUAGUGUAUUUAAAUACAUUUCUGUAGCUAAAGAGCAGCUGUGGUUUCCAUGGCGAUGUUCCAGGCACCUCAGCCAAUCAGCUGCUCUGAGGCGCUGGCUGUUCCAGUCUCCUUUCCUCUGUAUUUACCAGAAACCACCAAUCAGCACUGGCGUCUAAGUCCUGGCCAGCAGUCAAGUUUUUUUUUUCCAUGUGGGACCUCUAAACAUUCUGAACAUCUGCAACAUUACAAAAACUCAUAGUAGCCAUUUGUGGCCCCCUCCACAUUGUCCUCCCUCUGGGGGCAGCCAGUCAUCCUGGUUUAAUUCAGACGAGAGCUGAGGGUCCAGCCUCAGAGGGUACCUUUCGGGAAGGAUCAGGGAGGGGUCAAGAGUGGGUCAGGGAGAGGUGAGGUUAGGGUCUACAGAAGUUCAGGAGAAGGUCAAGCUGGGAAUCUCCCACCAAGCGUCAAUGAACAAGGGUGGAGCUGGCAGCAACUACUGGCCGCCAUUUUAACACAGCUGUAACCCCCCCCCAGGAUGAGACUAAGCAGAUGCAGUGAAGUGGAAAUGCUGCCACGGAAGUUCAGGAUUUGUGUCAUCUCAGAAUGAAGGAGGAGCCCCAGAUAAUCUCCUGUAAGCUGAGUCUCCCCUGAUGCCUUCAUGUCACUGAGGUCCAGGAGCUCAGAUGAAAAGCUCCAGUUUCUAAUGGGAUGAGGGAAGCCUGUCAUUUGUUCAGGAAAGAGGCAAUAUACUGUACAUAAGUGUAAGGACAUUAAAAUAAGUGAAGUAAA